CUCUAAUAUCCUUUUUAGAGGUAUACAAUAUACGACCCAAUCGAUUCAUCUUUCGCCACAAGUUACAAGUUCUCGUCUCUCACGACCCUCAGUCCUUAUGGUUUACUAUUCUAGGGUCUCCUAGGUCUAUCUAAACUAUUUCUACGCUCUGAUACCACCCUAUUUGUCACGCCCUGAGACCCACCACUUUGGUCGGAUUCAGGACCGCCGACAAACCGCCGAACGGACAUAAUUUUUCCUAUCCGCCCAAGGCAUCAUAAUCUGUACAAUUUAAGUGGUUCCAAACAGGAACAAAAUUCAUACACCAAUUGCAUAAGGAAGGCAUCAAACAUGAUUACUAAGCUAUUACAAGCAUUCGCCACAUUUCACAUUCAUUUACAUUCUUUUUGUUUCCAAAUACAAUCAACUUUAUUAUAACUCUGUUUCAUUCUUUUCUUUCUAUACCCUAAGCUACGUUGACCCAGGGUACAUCUAU
Molecule: long non-coding RNA, 475 nt
Filed under: Ananas comosus (pineapple)
Lineage: Eukaryota; Viridiplantae; Streptophyta; Magnoliopsida; Poales; Bromeliaceae
Description: long non-coding RNA (ACOM_LNC044312)
Source: RNAcentral